This 927-nucleotide unclassified non-coding RNA is filed under the name Hevea brasiliensis (rubber tree). The record is from RNAcentral. Lineage: Eukaryota; Viridiplantae; Streptophyta; Magnoliopsida; Malpighiales; Euphorbiaceae.
GUUUUCUGCGGUGUUUGGAACUCCCGCUAUCGAAAAUGGAUUCUAGGAUAUUUUCACCUGGUGAUGACGGUGGUGCCAUAGAGUAUCACGAGCUCUUAAACAUUGAGCGCGCUGCUUGUGAUGGGAAUGCGAAUGAAUUUCAGCGUGAGGAUAGCCAGGGUCAGGAGCACUGGGGGCAUGUUUCUGCUUCAUCUUGUAUUCAAUGGAGCGAGGCAGCGAGGGAAGGGAGGGUCAGUUCGAUGAGGGAACUGUUGAUUCGUUACCCUGAGUCUGUGAUGGAUGUCACGCCAAUGACUAGAGAGACACCGCUUCACCUUGCAGUGAGGCACGGUCACUGUGAUGUUGUCAGGUGGUUGGUGGAGACGCUUAGACGGACAACCUGUUACAGAGAUGUCAUUAAUAGGAAGGAUUGCGGCGGCGAUACAGUUUUGCAUCUUGCAACCUGCAGGAAACAACUUCCAACCCUAAAACUAAUGCUGGAAGAUAGUCCUACUCAUAGUGACAUGGUUGAGGUAAAUGCCAAAAACAAUGGAGGCUUUACAGCACUGGACAUCUUGGAAGCCAUACCAGAAAAUGAGGAGGUUGAUGUGGCGAUAAAAGAAAUUCUUGUAAGAGCAGGAGCUUCGAGAGGCAGGGACAUAGCUGACAGUAGCAACCGUGAGGUUUAUAUUGAAGUUGGGAAGCAGUGGCAGCGCUUAUUCCCGAAACAAGCAACCAGGUCAGAAUUCCUUAUCAGUAAGUAUCAUGGGUUGUUAAUUACAUCGACUCUGUUGGCAACUCUCACUUUCCAUGCUGCAUUAAGACCUCCCACAGUUAUGUCAGAAGUUUUUCAUAAUGAGUCUAGCAGGACCUUCCCAUUGGAGAAACAAGAUGCAGAAAUCAAUCAUCUUUUCAUUUUGUUUAAUUCAAUCGCCUUUUUCACUUCAA